AGCAGAUCCCACUUGCGAGCGUAGCACGUUUUUUCCAACCUUUGGUCCUUCUUCGGGGUGAGACAAGUCGUGGUGCCCCUGAGGCUCCCCUGCCUGGGACCUGGGUCAGAGUGGGGGCAUCCGGACUCGAACUGGCGCACUAAGACCGAGUGACCUCGUGUUACCGUCGCUGACACUUGUAGCUGGAGGAGUGGGACCCAGAAGAGUUAAAAGGACUCCAGCGUCCAGGUUUGCUGAGGGCCCGAUGGUGACCUCUUCGCUUUUUUUCUUUUUUUUGUACCGGGGAUCGAACUCACGACCUUGCACUUGCUUGGCAGGCGGCGAAGCCACUGAGCUAAAUCCCCGGCCCUCCUCUUUGCUCUUUGAUGUCUUGAGUCUUGGGUCUCCACCGAGGCCGCCCUAGGGCUGGACGACUGUCCUCCCGUCCCUUCCAGCACGCAGCUCUCUGUGCUAGAAGAGUGUAAAGUGACCAGAACAACCUCCUCAUCCUUUUUCCAAGUAGCGAUGGGAUCAUGAGAGGAGGCGAGGUGUGUGUGCAAGGUCUAAGUCCUGCCUCAGCCUCCCAGAGUGCCAUAAUCUUAGGAACACACCUCAUUUGACUUGCUCAGAAGUGUGGCUUUGGUUACAGGCCUGAAAGAGGAAAGACAUAAUGCUGAUAAGUAAAUUGCGCAAGGUCAAAAUACUAAUAAAUAAGAAUUUGAACCUGGUUUUGAUUCCAAAGUCCAAGAGGACCCUUCAGCUGCAUCCACCCUUCAGUCCACACCGAAACUUUCGGCCAUACCAGGAGCUGUAACUGGAUGAGUUUCCAUCAUUCCUGACAGCAUUCUUUCAUCCCUGCUCGCAACACUCAACAUGUCUGUCUUCUCACCUCCAUUUCUCCAAGUGAGUUCUGAAGGAAAAUGACAGAAACCGUUCUAGAGCAGAACUCGUCCGGAUACUAAGGUGAUAACACCUGCAAGGCAGCGAGGCACCUUCCAGAUCAAUCUCCAGAUGCAGUAAUUGUCUCAGUCUCAGUUUCCCAAUGUUGGACCGAGUACACUUUUGCAUAGGAAAGCAGCAUACAAGUGGGGGUCUGUAUUAAUUUAAACCUAAUCUUGAUAAAUAGUUACUAUAUUGUCAUUGUCUCAAGAUCAAAAUUGCUGUUAAUAUUUCUAUAUUUUGUAGAGGGAAAAGAGAGAGGAAAAAAAUAGUUAUUUUAAUCUAGCAUGGCCAGUGUAGCUAAAAGUGUGCCUUGAUUUAGUAUAAUUGUUUUAUGUGUUUUAUAUGUUUUUGGCUAGUUAAUCUGGCUGUUAAUCUGUGUUUAUAGUUAACUUGGUAAAGACAUAAAAUAAAUAAAUCUAAUGCUGGCCAAAAGAGAGAAAAAAUAUUUUUUAAUUAGGGUGGAAGGGAAGGAGAAAAAAAGAAUUGAGAUGUAUUAUAUGAAUAUACUGAUACCCCACAACAAGUAUAAUCAUAAUAUACUGCAAACAUGCACUAAUAAAAAAUUUUUAAAAUA
Heterocephalus glaber (naked mole-rat) is the source of this 1495-nucleotide long non-coding RNA. RefSeq lists it as uncharacterized. The record is from RefSeq and is a predicted model, not a curated record. NCBI's taxonomy places the organism in Eukaryota, Metazoa, Chordata, Mammalia, Rodentia, Bathyergidae.